GGAACCCUGACGCAGCGACGCCGCGUGGGUGAGGAAGGCCUUCGGGUUGUAAAGCCCUGUCAGGUGGGAAGAAGUGUAUCAUGGCUAAUAUCCAUGGUAUUUGACGGUACCACCAAAGGAAGCACCGGCUAAUCCGUGCCAGCAGCCGCGGUAAUA
This 156-nucleotide ribosomal RNA is filed under the name uncultured bacterium. RNAcentral describes it as "partial 16S ribosomal RNA". It matches the Rfam family "Bacterial small subunit ribosomal RNA", at positions 377 to 525 of the family's 1533-position model. The record is from RNAcentral.